This 315-nucleotide unclassified non-coding RNA is filed under the name plant metagenome. RNAcentral describes it as "partial contains 5.8S ribosomal RNA, internal transcribed spacer 2, and large subunit ribosomal RNA". The stretch from base 1 to 105 matches the Rfam family "5.8S ribosomal RNA", at positions 50 to 154 of the family's 154-position model. The record is from RNAcentral.
GAAAUGCGAUAACUAGUGUGAAUUGCAGAAUUCCGUGAAUCAUCGAGUCUUUGAACGCACAUUGCGCCCCCUGGUAUUCCGGGGGGCAUGCCUGUCCGAGCGUCAUUGCUGCCCAUCAAGCACGGCUUGUGUUUUGGGUCGUCGUCCCCUCUUCGGGGGGGACGGGCCCCAAAGGCAGCGGCGGCACCGCGUCCGAUCCUCGAGCGUAUGGGGCUUUGUCACCCGCUCUGUAGGCCCGGCCGGCGCUUGCCGAACGCAAAUCAAUCUUUUCCAGGUUGACCUCGGAUCAGGUAGGGAUACCCGCUGAACUUAAGC